GACGAACGCUGGCGGCGUGCCUAAUACAUGCAAGUAGAACGCUGAAGCGAGGAGCUUGCUCUUCUUGGAUGAGUUGCGAACGGGUGAGUAACGCGUAUGUAACCUGCCUGGUAGCGGGGGAUAACUAUGGGAAACGAUAGCUAAUCCCGCAUAAAAUGGUUUAUCGCAUGGUAAUCCAUUGAAAGGUGCAAAUGCAUCACUACCAGAUGGACCUGCGUUGUAUUAGCUAGUUGGUGGGGUAACGGCGCACCAAGGCGAGGAUACAUAGCCGACCUGAGAGGGUGAGCGGCCACACUGGGACGGUGACACGGCCCAGAGUCCUAGGGGAGGCAGCAGUAGGGAAACUGCGGCAAUGAACGGAAGUCUGACCGAGCAAGGCCGCGGGAGUGAAGAAGGUUUUCGGGUCGUAAAGCUCUGUUGUAAGAGAAGAACGAGCGUGAGAGUGGAAAGUUCACACUGUGACGGUAUCUUACCAGAAAGGGACGGCUAACUACGUG
RNAcentral lists this ribosomal RNA (497 nucleotides) under uncultured bacterium. RNAcentral's name for it is "partial 16S ribosomal RNA". It matches the Rfam family "Bacterial small subunit ribosomal RNA", at positions 28 to 507 of the family's 1533-position model. The record is from RNAcentral.